This 756-nucleotide ribosomal RNA is filed under the name uncultured bacterium. RNAcentral describes it as "bacterial SSU rRNA". It matches the Rfam family "Bacterial small subunit ribosomal RNA", at positions 8 to 796 of the family's 1533-position model. The record is from RNAcentral.
AGAGUUUGAUCAUGGCUCAGAAUCAACGCUGGCGGCGCGCUUAACACAUGCAAGUCGCACGAGAAAGUGGAGCAAUCCAUGAGUAAAGUGGCGUACGGGUGAGUAACACGUGGAUCAUCUACCUUUUAGUGGGGAAUACCUCCUGGAAACGGGAGACAAUACCGCAUAAGCUCGUAAGAGGAAAGCAGCAAUGCGCUGAAAGAGGAGUCCGCGGCUGAUUAGCUAGUUGGUGAGGUAAUGGCCCACCAAGGCGAAGAUCGGUAGCCGGCCUGAGAGGGCACACGGCCACACUGGCACUGAAACACGGGCCAGACUCCUACGGGAGGCAGCAGUGGGGAAUCUUGCACAAUGGAGGAAACUCUGAUGCAGCGACGCCGCGUGAGCGAUGAAGCCCUUCGGGGUGUAAAGCUCUUUCGACGGGAACGAUAAUGACGGUACCCGAAGAAGAAGCUGCGGCUAACUACGUGCCAGCAGCCGCGGUAAUACGUAGGCAGCGAGCGUUGUUCGGAAUUACUGGGCGUAAAGAGUGCGUAGGCGGUGCUCCAAGUCUGUUGUGAAAUCUCCCGGCUCAACUGGGAGGGUGCGGCGGAAACUGGAAUGCUAGAGUGUGGGAGAGGUAAGCGGAAUUCCUGGUGUAGCGGUGAAAUGCGUAGAUAUCAGGAGGAACACCUGUGGUGUAGACAGCUUACUGGACCACGACUGACGCUGAGGCACGAAAGCGUGGGUAGCAAACAGGAUUAGAUACCCUAGUAGUCC